This is a long non-coding RNA of Triticum aestivum (bread wheat), 1508 nucleotides long. RefSeq lists it as uncharacterized. Lineage: Eukaryota; Viridiplantae; Streptophyta; Magnoliopsida; Poales; Poaceae. The transcript has 2 exons. The record is from RefSeq and is a predicted model, not a curated record.
UCCACCGUCCAUUGAUUUCCAUAACUUUCUAUUCAUCUUCUCCACCGACUAACUCUAACUGAUGCAGCGGUUCUCCCCUUUAAGCUUCCAUCUCCACUCACAUGGAUCCCCCUUGCUGUGGCUGGUCGGACUGAGGUGAGGUUCCCCUCUCGGUGCCGCGCGCGCCUCUGCCGGUGCCAUCGACUGCCUCCCUUCCCCUGCCCCCUCAGUAAUCCUUGGUGGCCUCCGCCGGACACCGCUUCGUCCAUUGCUCCCCGCAGAUGGAAUACAGAAUACAUGGAGAGGAUGUUGCAGCAUGCGGUGGUGGAUUUGUGGUCGUCUUACUCCACCAACAUCACCUGCACCAAGGAGCCACUUUUUGGAAGGAAGCUCUGUUCGGUCUCCAUGCACCUCCUACUAUCAGCAAGUCCGGUUAGUCUCUCAUGUCCACAAUCCUUGCAAACUCAAGAACUGCCGGCAAGCAUAUGUCGAGAUAUGAUAGAUCGUGCUCAUAACUCCGAUCCGGUUGAUUCUAAUUGGAAGCGCUAACAAUUUCCUAAUUUUUUUCAGAUCUUAGAGCAUUGUUUGUACAGCUUAUGUAAUAUUUUGCUUUGAAUCGAUGCAUAUGGAUUUUUGUGCAUUACUCGCUGUGGCUCUGUGUUGCUUACUAAUCAACCCACCAGCCUUUUCAGACUUGGAUAUUUGUCAUGUUGAUGAGCUUGCUUUUAUGUAUUUUGCCAAAGCAACACCCAUGAAAAGUUAAUCAGAUGUACUAACUCGUGCAAUUAUUUUCUAGGAUGAGGAGCUGUAGUGUCAACAACUCUACCUACUGAUCAACAAUAAAUGAUAUGUCCAAUGAAAAGUUUCUUUCAUUAGAAUGUUCUAGGCAUUUUGUUUCGAAUCUUGAACUGAUAGCAAAAUGUUUCAGAUAAUGUCCUCUCUUCAUUUCUUAUAUUGAAUAGUUAAUGAUAAAUCCAGCCACAUUUCUCUCUACUAUGCUUAUUGAUACAAGCUUUGUAUUUUUGGAACACAACUGUUUUACCUUCGACAAUGCCAUCCGGGCAUCAGCUCCCUAUAUUUUGCUAUAUAUAAUAUUUUUUAAAGUUCGUACUCUACUGUAGUUUUUUAUCACGAACUAAUUGGGGUUUUCUCUAUAAGUAGCGCUUUUUAUACAACUCUGACCUCUACUAUUUUUCUUGGUGUAGAUUAUCAUCUUUCUUCUACGAUGUUACAGAUUAUACUAUUUGAGCAUUGCUUCCUUUGGUUCCAAUGCUCCAGUUUUUAUGGCAUGACAUUAGAGCCUGUAAUAAAGAAAUUACAGCUUCAGUUGAAACCCAACUCUGAUGACAUAGUAGAUACAAAUUGCAUUGAGAUUUAGAUCUAUCAGUUAGGAGUUUAACUAUUUGUCAUGCCUCUUGAAUAUAAAAGCUAACAUAAUUUUCAUUGAUGGAGCAUGUAUGAGUGUAGUUAUUGCAUUAUGCAGAUGUAAAAUUUAUGAUGAAUGAACAAAGUUGCUUCACUUGGUAAUA